Molecule: transfer RNA, 90 nt
Filed under: Candidatus Kerfeldbacteria bacterium CG_4_10_14_0_8_um_filter_42_10
Lineage: Bacteria; Candidatus Kerfeldiibacteriota
Description: tRNA-Ser
Rfam family: tRNA
About the family: Transfer RNA (tRNA) molecules are approximately 80 nucleotides in length.
Source: RNAcentral
GGAGGCGUGCGAGAGUGGUUGAAUCGGACAGUCUCGAAAACUGUUAGACCCGCAAGGGUCUCGAAGGUUCGAAUCCUUCCGCCUCCGCCA